Molecule: ribosomal RNA, 70 nt
Filed under: Rhodococcoides kyotonense
Lineage: Bacteria; Bacillati; Actinomycetota; Actinomycetes; Mycobacteriales; Nocardiaceae
Source: RNAcentral
GGAAGCUAAGCCCUCCAGCGCCGAUGGUACUGCACCCGACAGGGUGUGGGAGAGUAGGACACCGCCGAAC